CCUACGGGAGGCAGCAGUGGGGAAUAUUGCACAAUGGGGGAAACCCUGAUGCAGCAACGCCGCGUGAGUGAAGCAGUAUUUCUGUAUGUAAAGCUGUAUCAGUAGGGAUGACAAUGACAGUACCUGACUAAGAAUCCCCGGCUAACUACGGGCAAGCAGCAGCGGUAAUACGUAGGGGGCAAGCGUUAUCCGGAUUUACUGGGUGUAAAGGGAGCGUAGACGGGUGCGCAAGUCAGAAGUGAAAGCCCGGGGCUCAACCGCGGGACUGCUUUUGAAACUGUAUAGCUAGAGUGCAGGAGAGGUAGGUGGAAUUCCUAGUGUAGCGGUGAAAUGCGUAGAUAUUAGGAAGAACACCGAUGGCGAAGGCAGCUUACUAGACUGUAACUGACGUUGAGGCUCGAAAGCGUGGGGAGCAAACAGGAUUAGAUACCCUGGUAGUC
Molecule: ribosomal RNA, 440 nt
Filed under: uncultured bacterium
Lineage: Bacteria
Description: partial 16S ribosomal RNA
Rfam family: Bacterial small subunit ribosomal RNA
Source: RNAcentral